GAAUGCUGACAUAAGUAACGAUAAAGCGGGUGAAAAGCCCGCUCGCCGGAAGACCAAGGGUUCCUGUCCAACGUUAAUCGGGGCAGGGUGAGUCGACCCCUAAGGCGAGGCCGAAAGGCGUAGUCGAUGGGAAACAGGUUAAUAUUCCUGUACUUGGUGUUACUGCGAAGGGGGGACGGAGAAGGCUAUGUUGGCCGGGCGACGGUUGUCCCGGUUUAAGCGUGUAGGCUGGUUUUCCAGGCAAAUCCGGAAAAUCAAGGCUGAGGCGUGAUGAC
This 275-nucleotide ribosomal RNA is filed under the name Escherichia coli. RNAcentral's name for it is "partial 23S ribosomal RNA". It matches the Rfam family "Bacterial large subunit ribosomal RNA", at positions 1292 to 1570 of the family's 2925-position model. Lineage: Bacteria; Pseudomonadati; Pseudomonadota; Gammaproteobacteria; Enterobacterales; Enterobacteriaceae. The record is from RNAcentral.